Glossina pallidipes is the source of this 196-nucleotide non-coding RNA. The record is from Rfam. Lineage: Eukaryota; Metazoa; Arthropoda; Insecta; Diptera; Glossinidae.
GGGUCCCACCAUCGGAAGCUUGCUAAUGACAACCAGCCUCCGCGAAGUAAUACCUAACGGAGGUCCCGCGGGAAGAGUGGUAGCGGAAGUGUGUGGGGGGUAGAUUUUAGUAUGUAAGCGCCAUGGAUGACGAAUCGUGCAUGCUGCUACUAAGAACCAGCAGUAUCUUUUGAAGAUGUUCUACUUCCUGCCCGCU